AUUGAACGCUGGCGGCAGGCCUAACACAUGCAAGUCGAACGGUAACAGGAAGCAGCUUGCUGCUUCGCUGACGAGUGGCGGACGGGUGAGUAAUGUCUGGGAAGCUGCCUGAUGGAGGGGGAUAACUACUGGAAACGGUAGCUAAUACCGCAUAAUGUCGCAAGACCAAAGAGGGGGACCUUCGGGCCUCUUGCCAUCGGAUGUGCCCAGAUGGGAUUAGCUUGUUGGUGGGGUAACGGCUCACCAAGGCGACGAUCCCUAGCUGGUCUGAGAGGAUGACCAGCCACACUGGAACUGAGACACGGUCCAGACUCCUACGGGAGGCAGCAGUGGGGAAUAUUGCACAAUGGGCGCAAGCCUGAUGCAGCCAUGCCGCGUGUACGAAGAAGGCCUUCGGGUUGUAAAGUACUUUCAGCGGGGAGGAAGGGAGUAAAGUUAAUACCUUUGCUCAUUGACGUUACCCGCAGAAGAAGCACCGGCUAACUCCGUG
This 490-nucleotide ribosomal RNA is filed under the name uncultured bacterium. RNAcentral describes it as "partial 16S ribosomal RNA". It matches the Rfam family "Bacterial small subunit ribosomal RNA", at positions 30 to 507 of the family's 1533-position model. The record is from RNAcentral.